CUUGUUUCCAACUACCUCAUCGAUACUUCAAGUAGUAAUCUUAAUCAUCUCAUAAAUGGAGGCACAUGUUGUAUGUGAUUAUUGUUUUUAUACCGUAUAGGUCCAAAUCUAAGAGACACCACUUUGGUAUAUUCAAUGGCCAAUUUUCCAAAUGCAAUUUCUCAAAAUUCUAUAUAUUAUCUUCUUUCCACAAGGAUAGGAUCCAUGGCUAAUCUGCCAUAAAAAAUUGGAUGGGGUCCCUGAUGCCAUAAUCCUUUAGUCAAAGCAAAUCAAAUCCCACAUCCAUAGCAUCAAGUCCAAUCUUUCUUUUUGGCAGGCCUUCCAGAUAUGAGAGUGACCAGUAAGUAUCUUCUCUUUUUCAACUAGAGCCUAGUCAUCCUCUUUUCUACCUUCUGGCAAACCUCCACCACUGCCACUUUCUUCAUAAUUUCUUCAUAUAUAGGUAUCUCCAACACCUUUCAUUACUUGAUUAUCCAAAGAAAAUUAAAAACACUUUAUGUCACUCAUGGAGAGAAGUGAUCACUCUAAUUUGUAUGCGAGUUCAUUGGCUGAGUCAUUGGAUUUUCCCUACACGGUUGGUAAAGCUAAGCAACCAUA
Molecule: long non-coding RNA, 597 nt
Filed under: Elaeis guineensis (African oil palm)
Lineage: Eukaryota; Viridiplantae; Streptophyta; Magnoliopsida; Arecales; Arecaceae
Description: long non-coding RNA (EGUI_LNC010618)
Source: RNAcentral